UACGAAGGGGGCGAGCGUUGUUCGGAAUUACUGGGCGUAAAGGGCGCGUAGGCGGCUUGACAAGUCACUUGUGAAAUCUCCGGGCUUAACUCGGAACGGCCAAGUGAAACUGUCAUGCUAGAGUGCAGAAGGGGCAAUCGGAAUUCUUGGUGUAGCGGUGAAAUGCGUAGAUAUCAAGAGGAACACCUGAGGUGAAGACGGGUUGCUGGGCCAACACUGACGCUGAUGCGCGAAAGCCAGGGGAGCAAACGGG
Molecule: ribosomal RNA, 253 nt
Filed under: uncultured bacterium
Lineage: Bacteria
Description: partial 16S ribosomal RNA
Rfam family: Bacterial small subunit ribosomal RNA
Source: RNAcentral